This 70-nucleotide transfer RNA is filed under the name Tylototriton asperrimus (black knobby newt). Its description in RNAcentral is "tRNA-Ser". Lineage: Eukaryota; Metazoa; Chordata; Amphibia; Caudata; Salamandridae. The record is from RNAcentral.
AAGAAGUGGUAGAUUGGUGAUAUGGCUGACUUGAAAUUNNNUUAAGGGGGUUCAAUUCCUUCCCUUCUUG